RNAcentral lists this unclassified non-coding RNA (347 nucleotides) under soil metagenome. RNAcentral describes it as "partial contains 5.8S ribosomal RNA, internal transcribed spacer 2, and large subunit ribosomal RNA". The stretch from base 1 to 120 matches the Rfam family "5.8S ribosomal RNA", at positions 35 to 154 of the family's 154-position model. The record is from RNAcentral.
GAUGAAGAACGCAGUGAAAUGCGAUAAUUAAUGUGAAUUGCAGAAUUCAGUGAAUCAUCGAGUCUUUGAACGCACAUUGCGCCCCCUAGUAUUCCGGGGGGCAUGCCUGUCCGAGCGUCAUUGCUGCCCUCAAGCACGGCUUGUGUGUUGGGCUUCCGUCCCUGGCAACGGGGACGGGCCCAAAAGGCAGUGGCGGCACCAUGUCUGGUCCUCGAGCGUAUGGGGCUUUGUCACCCGCUCCCGUAGGUCCAGCUGGCAGCUAGCCUCGCAACCAAUCUUUUUAACCAGGUUGACCUCGGAUCAGGUAGGGAUACCCGCUGAACUUAAGCAUAUCAAUAAGCGGAGGA